This 563-nucleotide ribosomal RNA is filed under the name uncultured bacterium. RNAcentral's name for it is "partial 16S ribosomal RNA". It matches the Rfam family "Bacterial small subunit ribosomal RNA", at positions 355 to 907 of the family's 1533-position model. The record is from RNAcentral.
UGGGGAAUUUUGGACAAUGGGGGAAACCCUGAUCCAGCCAUCCCGCGUGUGCGAUGAAGGCCUUCGGGUUGUAAAGCACUUUUGGCAGGAAAGAAACGUCGCGGGUUAAUACCCCGCGAAACUGACGGUACCUGCAGAAUAAGCACCGGCUAACUACGUGCCAGCAGCCGCGGUAAUACGUAGGGUGCAAGCGUUAAUCGGAAUUACUGGGCGUAAAGCGUGCGCAGGCGGUUCGGAAAGAAAGAUGUGAAAUCCCAGAGCUUAACUUUGGGAACUGCAUUUUUUAAACUACCGGGCUAGAGUGUGUCAGAGGGAGGUGGAAUUCCGCGUGUAGCAGUGAAAUGCGUAGAUAUGCGGAGGAACACCGAUGGCGAAGGCAGCCUCCUGGGAUAACACUGACGCUCAUGCACGAAAGCGUGGGGAGCAAACAGGAUUAGAUACCCUGGUAGUCCACGCCCUAAACGAUGUCAACUAGCUGUUGGGGCCUUCGGGCCUUGGUAGCGCAGCUAACGCGUGAAGUUGACCGCCUGGGGGAGUACGGUCGCAAGAUUAAAACUCAAAUG